This 393-nucleotide ribosomal RNA is filed under the name uncultured bacterium. Its description in RNAcentral is "partial 16S ribosomal RNA". It matches the Rfam family "Bacterial small subunit ribosomal RNA", at positions 523 to 918 of the family's 1533-position model. The record is from RNAcentral.
AUACGGAGGAUGCGAGCGUUAUCCGGAUUUAUUGGGUUUAAAGGGAGCGUAGGUGGGAUAUUAAGUCAGCUGUGAAAGUUUGGGGCUCAACCUUAAAAUUGCAGUUGAUACUGGUUUCCUUGAGUACGGUACAGGUGGGCGGAAUUCGGGGUGGAGCGGUGAAAUGCUUAGAUAUCACGAAGAACUCCGAUCGCGAAGGCAGCUCACCGGGCCGGAACUGACACUGAUGCUCGAAAGUGCGGGUAUCAAACAGGAUUAGAUACCCUGGUAGUCCGCACAGUAAACGAUGAAUACUCGCUGUUUGCGAUACACUGUAAGCGGCCAAGCGAAAGCGUUAAGUAUUCCACCUGGGGAGUACGCCGGCAACGGUGAAACUCAAAGGAAUUGACGGGG